Molecule: ribosomal RNA, 288 nt
Filed under: Kluyvera intermedia
Lineage: Bacteria; Pseudomonadati; Pseudomonadota; Gammaproteobacteria; Enterobacterales; Enterobacteriaceae
Description: partial 23S ribosomal RNA
Rfam family: Bacterial large subunit ribosomal RNA
Source: RNAcentral
UGGAGAAUUGAGGGGGGCUGCUCCUAGUACGAGAGGACCGGAGUGGACGCAUCACUGGUGUUCGGGUUGUCAUGCCAAUGGCAUUGCCCGGUAGCUACAUGCGGAAGAGAUAAGUGCUGAAAGCAUCUAAGCACGAAACUUGCCCCGAGAUGAGUUCUCCCUUGUCCUUUAAGGACACUAAAGGAACGUUAAAGACGAUGACGUUGAUAGGCCGGGUGUGUAAGCGCAGCGAUGCGUUGAGCUAACCGGUACUAAUGAGCCGUGAGGCUUAACCUUACAACGCCGAAG